RNAcentral lists this ribosomal RNA (495 nucleotides) under uncultured bacterium. RNAcentral describes it as "partial 16S ribosomal RNA". It matches the Rfam family "Bacterial small subunit ribosomal RNA", at positions 29 to 523 of the family's 1533-position model. The record is from RNAcentral.
AACGAACGCUGGCGGCGUGGAUUAGGCAUGCAAGUCGAACGGAACUUUAGCUUUUUCGAAGUUUAGUGGCGAAAGGGUGAGUAACACGUGGGUUACCUGCCUUUGGGAUCGGGAUAACUAAUCGAAAGAUUGGCUAAUACCGGAUACGUUCCAUUAUGAAUAAUAGUGGAGGAAAGAUGGGGACGGCGCAAGCCACCUAUCACCCUUAGAUGGGCCCGCGGCCUAUCAGCUAGUUGGUGAGGUAAUGGCUCACCAAGGCUAAGACGGGUAGCCGGCCUGAGAGGGCGACCGGCCACACUGGGACUGAGACACGGCCCAGACUCCUACGGGAGGCAGCAGUGGGGAAUAUUGGUCAAUGGGCGCAAGCCUGAACCAGCAACGCCGCGUGAGGGAUGACGGCCUUCGGGUUGUAAACCUCUUUCAGCAGGGACGAAGCGAAAGUGACGGUACCUGCAGAAGAAGCACCGGCUAACUACGUGCCAGCCGCCGCCGUAA